GACGAACGCUGGCGGCGUGCCUAAUACAUGCAAGUCGAACGCUUCUUUCCUCCCGAGUGCUUGCACUCAAUUGGAAAGAGGAGUGGCGGACGGGUGAGUAACACGUGGGUAACCUACCCAUCAGAGGGGGAUAACACUUGGAAACAGGUGCUAAUACCGCAUAACAGUUUAUGCCGCAUGGCAUAAGAGUGAAAGGCGCUUUCGGGUGUCGCUGGUGGAUGGACCCGCGGUGCAUUAGCUAGUUGGUGAGGUAACGGCUCACCAAGGCCACGAUGCAUAGCCGACCUGAGAGGGUGAUCGGCCACACUGGGACUGAGACACGGCCCAGACUCCUACGGGAGGCAGCAGUAGGGAAUCUUCGGCAAUGGACGAAAGUCUGACCGAGCAACGCCGCGUGAGUGAAGAAGGUUUUCGGAUCGUAAAACUCUGUUGUUAGAGAAGAACAAGGACGUUAGUAACUGAACGUCCCCUGACGGUAUCUAACCAGAAAGACACGGCUAACUACGUG
Molecule: ribosomal RNA, 508 nt
Filed under: uncultured bacterium
Lineage: Bacteria
Description: partial 16S ribosomal RNA
Rfam family: Bacterial small subunit ribosomal RNA
Source: RNAcentral